Molecule: ribosomal RNA, 1019 nt
Filed under: Triplophysa stolickai (Tibetan stone loach)
Lineage: Eukaryota; Metazoa; Chordata; Actinopteri; Cypriniformes; Nemacheilidae
Description: partial large subunit ribosomal RNA
Rfam family: Bacterial large subunit ribosomal RNA
Source: RNAcentral
AGGAAACUAAAUCAUUUUUCCACCUUAGUACGGGAGACGGAAAAGGUAAUUUUAAGCAAUAGAGAAAGUACCGCAAGGGAAAGCUGAAAGAGUAAUGAAAUAAUUCAUAUAAGCACAAAAAAGCAGAGCCUAACCCUCGUACCUUUUGCAUCAUGAUUUAGCCAGCACCACACAAGCGAAGUGACCUUUAGUUUGAAAUCCCGAAACCAAGUGAGCUACCCCGGGACAGCCUGUUUGGGCGAACCCGUCUCUGUGGCAAAAGAGUGGGAAGAGCCCCGGGUAGAGGUGAUAAACCUACCGAACUUGGUGAUAGCUGGUUGCCUAAGAAAUGAAUAGAAGUUCAGCCUCGUACCCCUUUAGCCAACCAGGAAAUAUCUAAGUAAGCAUAGAAGAGAAAUACGAGAGUUAGUUAAAGGGGGUACAGCCCCUUUAAUAAAGGACACAACCUUAAAUAGGAGGAUAAGAGUCACAUUUUAUAAAACUAGUCGUUCCAGUGGGCCUAAAAGCAGCCACCUGAAUAGAAAGCGUUAAAGCUCAAACGACAUGCAGUUUAUUAUACUGAUAAGUAGCCCAAUUCCCCUAAAAAUAUUAGGCCGUUCCAUGCUACCAUGGAAGAGACCAUGCUAGAAUGAGUAAUAAGAGGGUACAACCCUCUCCUAGCACAAGUGUAAGCCAGAUCGGACAAGCCACUGGAAGUUAACGAACCCAUAAAAAGAGGGCAAUGUGUUUACUAAAGAAUUCAAGAAAAUAACACAACAUUUACAUCGUUAAACCCACACUGGAGUGCAUCAAGGAAAGACUAAAAGAAAGGGAAGGAACUCGGCAAACACAAGCCUCGCCUGUUUACCAAAAACAUCGCCUCCUGCAAACCCCUACGUAUAGGAGGUCCAGCCUGCCCGGUGACUACAAGUUUAACGGCCGCGGUAUUUUGACCGUGCAAAGGUAGCGCAAUCACUUGUCUUUUAAAUGAAGACCUGUAUGAAUGGCUAAACGAGGGCUUAACUGUCUCCCUUUUCAGG